Molecule: ribosomal RNA, 480 nt
Filed under: uncultured bacterium
Lineage: Bacteria
Description: partial 16S ribosomal RNA
Rfam family: Bacterial small subunit ribosomal RNA
Source: RNAcentral
GACGAACGCUGGCGGCGCGCUUAACACAUGCAAGUCGAGCGAUGAAACUUUAACAGAACCCUUCGGGGCGUAGAUAAAGUGGAUUAGCGGCGGACUGGUGAGUAACACGUUAGUAACCUGCCUUAGACAUUGGGAUAGCCUCGGUAAACCGGGAUUAAUACCAAAUAAAAUCAUAAUGACACAUGUCAUAACUAUCAAAACUCCAGUGGUCUAAGAUGGACGCGCGUCCCAUUAGCUAGUUGGUAGAUUAAAAGCCUACCAAGGCGACGCUGGGUAGCCGGCCUGAGAGGGUGAACGGCAACAUUGGAACUGAGAAACGGUCCAAACUCCUACGGGAGGCAGCAGUGGGGAAUAUUGCACAAUGGAGGGAACUCGGAUGCAGCGACGCCGCGUGAACGAAGAAGGCUUUCGAGUCGUAAAGUUCUUUUAUAUGGGAAGAUAAUGACGGUACCAAAAGAAAAAGCCCCGGCUAACUACGUG